Molecule: long non-coding RNA, 1250 nt
Organism: Zea mays
Lineage: Eukaryota; Viridiplantae; Streptophyta; Magnoliopsida; Poales; Poaceae
Exons: 4
Source: RefSeq, a predicted model, not a curated record
GCCUUUUCACUUGGCCUGGCUGGUCUGGCCAGCCAGUUUUUUUUUCUGGUAUUUAAAGUAAGUACUGCUCUAGUCUUUGCCACAGCCCACAGCUUGCUGGCCUCUGCCUGCUGCUGUUCUUCGUUGCCACAUGGCUUCGUCGUUCAAGCACUGAUGACUUGAUCAGCUCUGAUUGGAUGGGAGAUCAGAGUUCAGACCGAUGGAUCGGUUGGUUCUUCAAGCUAGCAGAAUUUUACCAAGACCCAGAGUUCGACAUGGUGUGGCAAUGGAACCAAUCUGCAUGACGUUGAUCCUAUCACCCAUAUCCUUGACGACCAAAUGGAGGUUCCCAAAAAAAUCGAGCAAGCAAGCAGGGCUGUCUGAGUCUGUCAUUCUGGCAAAGGCCCCAGCAUCGAUUGUUCACACGAGAAAAGCGAGCGAAAGAAGGAAAGGACAUAUAGUCACGUCACGUGUUAAGGAAAAAGGAAAAAAUAAAAUAAUUUUAAAAAGGGAUAUAGUACUAUUUUAGAGGACAAAAUCGCUUAUAAAUAUUAUUAGAAAGAAGGUUAACUUAUGAAUAUUAUAAUAGAGAAGCCUGUUAAAAGAAGUACCAUAAUAGAAAAAACUCUAGGCUUCUACGCUCUCAUGUGCAUCCCACACAGGUCGGAGCGGCAGCCACCCGUGAUGAGCAAAGCAGGCAGCGGCCCCGGGUCCGACGGGGCGACGGCUGCGGCGGCGUCCGCCGCGGUGCAGAAGCAGAAGUCGCUGAUGUAGAAGGCGGGCCCAGCCGUCUCCAGCCUCGUCGACAAUUUCUCCUCCCUCAUCAACAUCGCUCGAGUCAACGAUCCGCCAGUGCACAACUCACAGGAGGCCUUUCAGAUGGAGAUGCGCGCUGUCCGCAUGGGGGAUUGAAGUGCUGGGUCAGCAAGCUAAGGGAACUGAGAGAAUGCUGGAAAGGAUUGGGCAGGAGGUAGCAGCGAGCCUCAAGGAGCUAGAGGCACACUACUACUCAUAUGUUGUGCGAUCACCAUCCUAUGAUUGAGGUUAAUCUUAUCAUUCCAGGAUAAAAUUUCUUGUGUUUCCAAUAUGCACUCAUUUCACAUAUGGUUUAACAGCGACUGUUUGUUCUAUCAUUGGAGUAUCACUAAGUUGUAGCAGUGUUAAUGUUAUGUGGAAUGAUUUAAUCUCAGUGCUAGUUGUAUCGUGCUUUACAUAUAUAUAUAUAUAGGUGCAUGAUGCAUAAUUCAUAAAGUCGUAUAUCUAUUUGAUUA